AUGAACGCUGGCGGCAGGCCUAACACAUGCAAGUCGAGCGGUAGCACAGAGAGCUUGCUCUCGGGUGACGAGCGGCGGACGGGUGAGUAAUGUCUGGGAAACUGCCUGAUGGAGGGGGAUAACUACUGGAAACGGUAGCUAAUACCGCAUAACGUCGCAAGACCAAAGUGGGGGACCUUCGGGCCUCAUGCCAUCAGAUGUGCCCAGAUGGGAUUAGCUAGUAGGUGGGGUAAGGCUCACCUAGGCGACGAUCCCUAGCUGGUCUGAGAGGAUGACCAGCCACACUGGAACUGAGACACGGUCCAGACUCCUACGGGAGGCAGCAGUGGGGAAUAUUGCACAAUGGGCGCAAGCCUGAUGCAGCCAUGCCGCGUGUUGAAGAAGGCCUUCGGGUUGUAAAGCACUUUCAGCGGGGAGGAAGGCGAUAAGGUUAAUAACCUUUCGAUUGACGUUACCCGCAGAAGAAGCACCGGCUAACUCCGUGCCAGCAGCCGCGGUAAUACGGAGGGUGCAAGCGUUAAUCGGAAUUACUGGGCGUAAAGCGCACGCAGGCGGUCUGUCAAGUCGGAUGUGAAAUCCCCGGGCUCAACCUGGGAACUGCAUUCGAAACUGGCAGGCUAGAGUCUUGUAGAGGGGGGUAGAAUUCCAGGUGUAGCGGUGAAAUGCGUAGAGAUCUGGAGGAAUACCGGUGGCGAAGGCGGCCCCCUGGACAAAGACUGACGCU
Molecule: ribosomal RNA, 724 nt
Filed under: Klebsiella sp.
Lineage: Bacteria; Pseudomonadati; Pseudomonadota; Gammaproteobacteria; Enterobacterales; Enterobacteriaceae
Description: bacterial SSU rRNA
Rfam family: Bacterial small subunit ribosomal RNA
Source: RNAcentral